Molecule: long non-coding RNA, 588 nt
Organism: Heterocephalus glaber (naked mole-rat)
Lineage: Eukaryota; Metazoa; Chordata; Mammalia; Rodentia; Bathyergidae
Source: Ensembl
GGCCCCUGGAGGGCUCUGGCCUCUGCUUGCCCCCUGCACAGGGUGGACAGAGGACUGAAAGGCUGUCCUGCCAACCUUACUAGAGCUGGAAAUAACUUUGUGUUGAUUUGCUUUAGACAAGUACACUGGGAAGACCUCAGGGAGCAGCUGCAGCCUGUGGAUGCUGAAUUCUCAGGCUCUGAGGCCACCCCAGCCUCUCCCUCCAAAAGCUCCCAGAAGCACUUUGGAAAUAAUAGUCUAAGGUCCCCAGGCUGGGAUCAAACCUGUGAUCCUCCUGCCUCAGCCUUCCAGAGCCGAAAGUACAGGCCCCUUAGGCCAGGCAGCACUCACACCCUUAAUCCUGGAUUGCACCAUGAAUGGAUCCCAUUGUCAUACACUUUAGAUGCAGCCACCUCUGCAAAAGCCCCACCUGUGACCACAAGAGGCUCUGAGGGGCCGUCCAGACCCAGCCCUGACAGGGAGUUUCCGCCCUUUGGUCAGAGGAAUGCCAGGGUGUGGCGAGACUGACGUGGAGAAGCAGGAGGCAGAAGAACUGAGGCACAAGGUGUGGUGGAGCACGCCGUUCCUCCCAGCAUUCAAGAGGCUGUG